This 468-nucleotide ribosomal RNA is filed under the name uncultured bacterium. RNAcentral's name for it is "partial 16S ribosomal RNA". It matches the Rfam family "Bacterial small subunit ribosomal RNA", at positions 28 to 507 of the family's 1533-position model. The record is from RNAcentral.
GACGAACGCUGGCGGCGUGCUUAACACAUGCAAGUCGAACGGAAAGGCCCUGCUUUUGUGGGGUGCUCGAGUGGCGAACGGGUGAGUAACACAUGAGUAACCUGCCCUUGACUUUGGGAUAACUUCAGGAAACUGGGGCUAAUACCGGAUAGGAGCUCCUGCUGCAUGGUGGGGGUUGGAAAGUUUCGGCGGUUGGGGAUGGACUCGCGGCUUAUCAGCUUGUUGGUGGGGUAGUGGCUUACCAAGGCUUUGACGGGUAGUCGGCCUGAGAGGGUGACCGGCCACAUUGGGACUGAGAUACGGCCCAGACUCCUACGGGAGGCAGCAGUGGGGAAUAUUGCACAAUGGGCGGAAGCCUGAUGCAGCAACGCCGCGUGCGGGAUGACGGCCUUCGGGUUGUAAACCGCUUUCGCCUGUGACGAAGCGUGAGUGACGGUAAUGGGUAAAGAAGCACCGGCUAACUACGUG